UGGGAUGUGGCUCAGUGGUAGAGGGCUCACCUUGCAUGUGCGAGACCCUGGGUUCCAUCCUCAGCACCACAU
Non-coding RNA from Ictidomys tridecemlineatus (thirteen-lined ground squirrel), 72 nucleotides. NCBI's taxonomy places the organism in Eukaryota, Metazoa, Chordata, Mammalia, Rodentia, Sciuridae. The record is from Rfam.